Molecule: ribosomal RNA, 1097 nt
Filed under: Staphylococcus aureus
Lineage: Bacteria; Bacillati; Bacillota; Bacilli; Caryophanales; Staphylococcaceae
Description: partial 23S ribosomal RNA
Rfam family: Bacterial large subunit ribosomal RNA
Source: RNAcentral
CUAAGGCUAAAUACUCUCUAGUGACCGAUAGUGAACCAGUACCGUGAGGGAAAGGUGAAAAGCACCCCGGAAGGGGAGUGAAAUAGAACCUGAAACCGUGUGCUUACAAGUAGUCAGAGCCCGUUAAUGGGUGAUGGCGUGCCUUUUGUAGAAUGAACCGGCGAGUUACGAUUUGAUGCAAGGUUAAGCAGUAAAUGUGGAGCCGUAGCGAAAGCGAGUCUGAAUAGGGCGUUUAGUAUUUGGUCGUAGACCCGAAACCAGGUGAUCUACCCUUGGUCAGGUUGAAGUUCAGGUAACACUGAAUGGAGGACCGAACCGACUUACGUUGAAAAGUGAGCGGAUGAACUGAGGGUAGCGGAGAAAUUCCAAUCGAACCUGGAGAUAGCUGGUUCUCUCCGAAAUAGCUUUAGGGCUAGCCUCAAGUGAUGAUUAUUGGAGGUAGAGCACUGUUUGGACGAGGGGCCCCUCUCGGGUUACCGAAUUCAGACAAACUCCGAAUGCCAAUUAAUUUAACUUGGGAGUCAGAACAUGGGUGAUAAGGUCCGUGUUCGAAAGGGAAACAGCCCAGACCACCAGCUAAGGUCCCAAAAUAUAUGUUAAGUGGAAAAGGAUGUGGCGUUGCCCAGACAACUAGGAUGUUGGCUUAGAAGCAGCCAUCAUUUAAAGAGUGCGUAAUAGCUCACUAGUCGAGUGACACUGCGCCGAAAAUGUACCGGGGCUAAACAUAUUACCGAAGCUGUGGAUUGUCCUUUGGACAAUGGUAGGAGAGCGUUCUAAGGGCGUUGAAGCAUGAUCGUAAGGACAUGUGGAGCGCUUAGAAGUGAGAAUGCCGGUGUGAGUAGCGAAAGACGGGUGAGAAUCCCGUCCACCGAUUGACUAAGGUUUCCAGAGGAAGGCUCGUCCGCUCUGGGUUAGUCGGGUCCUAAGCUGAGGCCGACAGGCGUAGGCGAUGGAUAACAGGUUGAUAUUCCUGUACCACCUAUAAUCGUUUUAAUCGAUGGGGGGACGCAGUAGGAUAGGCGAAGCGUGCGAUUGGAUUGCACGUCUAAGCAGUAAGGCUGAGUAUUAGGCAAAUCCGGUACUCGUUAAGGCUGAGC